Molecule: ribosomal RNA, 363 nt
Filed under: Vibrio parahaemolyticus
Lineage: Bacteria; Pseudomonadati; Pseudomonadota; Gammaproteobacteria; Vibrionales; Vibrionaceae
Description: bacterial LSU rRNA
Rfam family: Bacterial large subunit ribosomal RNA
Source: RNAcentral
GAGGCGAACCGGGGGAACUGAAACAUCUAAGUACCCCGAGGAAAAGAAAUCAACCGAGAUUCCGAAAGUAGCGGCGAGCGAAAUUGGACUAGCCCUUAAGCUUUACACGCGUUAGACGAACGGUCUGGAAAGUCCGACGAUACAGGGUGAUAGUCCCGUAGUUGACGACGUGUGUUCAGUGAAAUCGAGUAGGGCGGGACACGUGAUAUCCUGUCUGAAUAUGGGGGGACCAUCCUCCAAGGCUAAAUACUACUGACUGACCGAUAGUGAACCAGUACCGUGAGGGAAAGGCGAAAAGAACCCCUGUGAGGGGAGUGAAAUAGAACCUGAAACCGUGUACGUACAAGCAGUAGGAGCAGGCUU